AUGGGCUUUCUACUACCAAUAUCGAAUAUGUCCUUGCAAAAUGAAACUAUUUUUCUCGAUAACAUGGCUUUAGUGGGUCUCUGCGCCAUUUGGCGCAACGGAUCAACUAGUAAUAAGAAAAUGUGGGAAGAAUGCUUGCCUCAUAUUGAAUUUGCUUAUAAUCAUUCAUUGCAUUCUACUACUAAGAUGUGCCCUUUUGAAAUUGUGUAUGGUUUCCUACCUCGUGCACCUAUUGAUUUAUUGCCUCUUCCAUCUUCGAAGAAGGUUAAUUUUGAUGCUAAAGAAUGUGCUGAAUUGAUUUUAAAACUGCAUGAGUUAAUUAAGGAAAACAUUAAGCGUAUGAAUGCUAAAUAUAAAUUUGCUGGAGAUAAGGGUAGAAAACAUGUUGUGUUUGCACCUGGAGAUCCUGUUUGGUUACAUUUGCGUAAGGAUAGAUUUCCUAAUUUGCGCAAAUAA
Molecule: ribosomal RNA, 456 nt
Filed under: Triticum aestivum (bread wheat)
Lineage: Eukaryota; Viridiplantae; Streptophyta; Magnoliopsida; Poales; Poaceae
Description: partial small subunit ribosomal RNA
Source: RNAcentral